Molecule: RNA transcript, 7464 nt
Organism: Macrobrachium nipponense
Lineage: Eukaryota; Metazoa; Arthropoda; Malacostraca; Decapoda; Palaemonidae
Gene name: axin-1-like
Exons: 19
Source: RefSeq, a predicted model, not a curated record
UUGUUGAGAGUGUGGCGAAGAAGGAGAGAAGGAAUUAUGUCUCUCAUAUAAUAUAUUAUUGCUGUGAUUGUUGAUAUAUAUAAAAGUGUCUUGUGCGCAGUGAUGGAACCAUUGUGGUAGAAGAAGUUCGUAGUAAAAAUACAUCCCUGGGAGAAAGGAAUAAUAAAAAUAGACUAAAAGAGAUUUUGGGCCCUUAAUUCUGCACCAGUGAGAACAUAGAAAGAAAUUGAAGAAGUGUCUCUUCUCUAGUGCUGAAGGAAAACUACUGGCUAAACAAACAUCGAGCUUACAAGGGCCUCCCAAGGGUUUGGGGGUCAGCUGUCCCUUUCAGCGUGUGUUUGGCGGGAACAAUGGAUAGAACAGAAGCUAGAUUUGUUCACGCCAUGUUUGCGUUGUGAUUGGUCAUCUGGACUGCCUGCAGACCCUUAUUUGAGGCGUCGGGAUGGUGUGUUGGUGGUGUGAAGCGCGAGAGUGCAGCAGCAGCAGCAGCAGCAGCGGCACAAGCACCAAGGUGUUGGCUAGAUGAGCAGCACCGCGGCCGAACCCCCUCCAGGGGAACCUCCUGGAGGGCAGGCGGGGGACCCAAACACCGGCCCCCAGACAUCGGCCAGCUCCUCUCAGCAAGGUCCUCACUCAGAACACUGUGAGGGAGAAGAUGUUGGAGGAGAUGAUACCUGUGGGAGACUGGACCUUCGACCUCCUGUUCCAGGAGAAGAAGACCUCCAAAGAUCCCACCAAGUUCAGCAAGGGGAAUGGAACAAAGAUCCCCUUGCUGCAAGCCAGCCACCUUAUUCAGAUUGGGGUAAAGGCCCACCGGGUCCCCACCUACCCCAUUCUGUUGACUGGGGUAAAGAACCCCCUGGAGACUGGCAUCCAAAACCUUUCAACCCUCAUGCAGGAACUCAUCUAUGUUCCCAUUACCAAGGUGAUGGAGGAGGUGAUUUUCCAGCUAUUUUAGGAGGAUCAGUUGAGGGGGGAUCUCCUUGCUUUGGUGGGGGCGAAGGAGGGACUACUCCUCCCGCAGUUCGAUGGUCUGAGUCAUUGUUACAGCUUUUAGAAGAUCCUCAUGGUGUCCAGUUGUUUCAAGAAUUUUUGAAGGAAGAAUGUGGGUCAUGUGAGUCAUUGCAGUUCUGGUUUGCUUGCAAUGGCCUUCGAAAAUCAGAUAAGCAAGACCCUUCGCAGCUGGUGACCAUUAUCUGGAAACGGUAUAUUAGGAAUUUCGUUGUUCGUGUAUCCGAGAAGACGUACAAAAUGGUCAACGAUCGCAUCAAUGCUAGAAGUAUUGACCGAAGCAUUUUUGAUGAUGCACAGCAAGAGGUGGAAGAGGAAAUGGCCCGUAGCACGUACCCCAGUUUCCUGAAAAGCGAGCGCUACCUCACGUACCUGGCAGCUGCCACGCAGCAAACAGGGGGUGACUCUCCCCACUCACCCUCACCUUGUAGUCCUGGAGCAGGUGUUGUGGGAGGAUCAGGAGUGCUUCCCACCUUACAUGAAGACUGUGAAUAUCAAGGCAGCAUAGGCAACACUCAGUUGCGCCUCACUCAGGUAGCUUUAGCUGCAACUGUCAAACAAAGAGCAGCUGCAGAGAGAAGAAAACCAGAGGCUUUUGCUGGGCAAUAUUUGCAUGGAGUCAGCAACUGUGGUGGUGGUAGUGGUGUGAAUCCAUAUCACGCACUGUAUUCCACUGCUCACGUGUCCAGCAGGCAGGACUCUGAACUUCAGAGUCUAAGUUCUGAUGCUCUCACUGAUGACACCCUCUCCUGCACUGACUCAUCGGUGGAUGGCAUGUCUGUUGGGCUUGGAGGGUCUAUUAACCCCAAACAUCUCAAAAGGCAGUAUUAUAAAAUGCGAGAAAAUGCUCGUCAAAAUCGAGAAUUGGCUCUCAGUGCUGCCACAGGAGGAGGUUUCUCUGGUAGUCAGAGUGGAGGAAUUCUGCAUGGGGGAGUGCCUUUUAUGCCUAGGACUCAUCGCCUUCGCCAUGAGUCAAUACCAAGCACGAAACCCAGUGAAUUUGCUGCUCUCCUCAUUGAAAAGCUUGAGAAAGUCAAGAGAGACCGUGAGUCACAGGAGAAAGUGCAGCAGUCCUUUAAAAAGAUACAAGAGGGGGACAAUGUCUCUGAUGAGUGCCGCCGAGAGCAUGCUUUCAACAGUCUCCCUCCAUCGCUACUUCUUGAUAAACUAGCGCAAAAGAUCUCCCUUGAUGAUGCUGAUCCUUGUCAAUCUAUUCUUGAUGAACAUGUGUCUCGAGUAUGGCAAGACAGUAAUAACGACACUCCGGCUCGUUCCCCUGGUUCUCCACGACCUAAGUCUCCGUCUGGUAGGAGAAGUGGUUCCUUACAGCCCUCUAGGCCCACAGUAUUAUCACAUCAUGGUAUAAAGGGUAAUGUAAUGGUGGGUGUUGGUCAUCCGUCCAUGUAUGUUUCUGGCACCAACUACCUCCCUCCAACUCAAGCCCCCCACCCUCUUCAUGUGCCUGCAAGUCAUCGGGCUCAUUGUCCCCCAGGUCAUCCAGCUCACCUGCCCCCAGGUCAUAUGCCCAAUCCAUACCAAGCCAAUCGAAGCUGGCAUCAUCCAAGACGCAGGGAGAGAGGUCAGGAUGUGUAUUCUACGUUUUCAUCUGAUUCUGGCAAUGUAGCCGAUUAUAAUGAGAGUACGGACAGAAGUAGUCAUCUCCCUCUUCCUAAAUCUCGCUCCAUGCCAGAAUAUAUGGAGAAUUAUGCAGGUACAAGUAGUGAUGGUGGAAGUUCUGGUCGGCGUCAACAGAGCAGUAGGCGAAGCAGUUCCCGAAGAGCUCCUGCUGAUCUAACCGACUCUGGAGUGUCUGUGGUAUCAGAUUCGGGUCCCUCCCUCACCCCUUCAGCAUCAUCUACAGAAAGAGUAACAACUUGGCUACUGGAGAAUGAUAAGUUCAGUGGGAGUAUAAGUUCAACAAGUGGUUACCUAGAGCAUGAGUGUGACCCCCGUUAUAGAGGGAACCGAUCCACGCACACUGCUGCGGGGGCCACUUCACCCGGAACUCUGAGACGAAGUAGCAGUGGUGGGGGUCGUCGUAGUGUAAGUGGUGGAAGUGUUGGGGGUGUUGUUGGCUUGAGUGCGAGCAGUAUGAGUGGAAGUGGAAGUUUAGGUGGCAGUGGCAGUCUUGUUAGUGGACGACCUGGGUCUGUUGAAAGAUCAGGGAAUGUUUGGAUGCCUGCAUUGAACAUUGACCAGCGUGAACUUAUUGGAAUACAUCCAGGUCUUAUGAUGCAUCCUCAUGCUACCCAUCAGUCCCAUAGCUCUCAUUCGUCUCACUCUGCCCAUGAUGAUAGUAAAAAGAGAAGUCGGGGUGGAGGAGGUGGUUGUCAUGGAUCAAGCAGAUGCGCUAGCCAUAAUUCUGGUCACAGCUCUGGUCACAACUGGAGUCACUCUGAGGGUAGCAGUGGGCGUGGAUCAUGCCAUGGAGAUGCUACUACCCCCUCUGCAACUAAUCCUUCUGGUCCAGGCUCAAAUGGAUCAACCUUAAGAAAACAAAGACCAUCUCGUCACUCACAACCAACUCCACCAGGAGCAGUUUGUGAAAGUGGUGGUAGUAGCAGUGGAGGCAGUGGUGGUAGUGUGUCAGGGAUAGGAGGAGGGGGAGCUACAUCAUCAGUUAGUGGCACUGGGUCUACUGGUGCAAGUGCCUCAGAGUGCACCACUGUUGUCUACAAUUUUCAUGACGAUUCCGUUCCCUUUGUCAUUCGUGUUCCUACUCGCCCAGUUACUCUUAAGCGCUUCAAGCAGCAUUUACCGAAGAAAGGAAAUUACAGAUUCUUCUUCAAAAAGCAUUGUGAAGAGUUUGGCGUGAUUCAAGAAGAGAUUACAGAUGAUUCCGAAAUCAUCCCUCUAUUUGAAGGAAAGAUAAAUGCACAGAUCAGAAAAGCUGAUUGAGAGUGAAAUGUAACUUCUAGAAGGUUCUUUUUUAAUGUUUAUAACUAAUUAAUGCUGGUGAAUUUGCGAACCAAAGUGCAUCAUCAACUUGCUGUGGAAGUUUGAUGAUGAUUUUGUAUAGUAUGAAAACUAAUAAAAAAAGGAUGCAGCAGUGGUUCUUUAGUGGCCUCCCAGGCUUUGAAAAAAUGAUUGAUUUGGCCAUUGCCUGAGAAGGACCAUCAUAUAGUGUUAGGAUGGGGGGAGUGGUGCUGGAAGCAUGAAGAGACAUCAGUGUAUUUAAAGAUUUGAUGCAAGGAUGUGUGCAGGUCAUUUUUAUUAGUGGUCCUCUGCAUGCAGUCAGAGACUGAGCCGUUUUGGUCCAGUGCUGUUGGAGCCUUAGAGCAGUUAGGCUAAUUUCUUACCUCAUUUUAGAGAUAAAAUAUUAAGGCGAUGAAUGAAGGAUGAAUGUGAAGAUGUGGCCUGCUGUAGAAAGUGGUUGUCAUGGGUCAGUGUUUCAAGUUAGUCACAAUUGCUUGUACUGUACCCUGUUGAAAUAUAUUGAUCAUAGCAGAAGUGUUUCACAGUCAGAAUCCAGAUUCAUUUUGAAAAAUUUUCCACCCUCCCCUUUUUUUAUACAUAUUUAUAUAUAUUCAGAGAAGGGUGGCAUAACACCUUGGUAUGAUCACAUGACAGUCACUUUCUAUGCCCUGUCGAGUGGGAUGAACAUUUUGUGUCACCGGGAGACCCUCCAUAUGUAUGGGCAGCUUUUCUAGAAUGGCAACUAUCAUUGCUGUCUCAGUGAAUUAAAAGUGUAUUUUUUGGGAUGUUUAUUAUUAGUGAAAAUCAAAUUGCUUUAAUUAUUUAUUUUAUAAAAGAAGGAAGUAACUACAUAUUACUAUUGCAAUGCUUUACAUUUUCAAAUAAGAAUACAUAGCUGUUGAAUUCCAAUUUUUUGAAAAUCUUCAAGAUAUAGGUGAUACUGAUUUGGAUAAUUUUUUUAAGGUAUGUCAAAUUGUCAAUGAAAUGGACUUUGGUAUAGUGAAGUAUAUAACAAAUUUAUACUGUUUACUCUUUGUGUCUCCUAGAGGAUUUUAUUAAGUGUAACACAAAAGCUGUUGCUGUACUGCACAAAGUAUUUCUUACCUGAUUUUUCCACCUUUUUCUCUUACCUUCAAUCAGAACACUAUUUAUUUAGAGUACAAUAAAGUGGAUAUAUUAAAUUUAUGGUUCUGGGGAUCUUUUGAUAAAAAUCAAGUGCAGGUUUCCUUGUUAUUAUGUUGAAAUCUUGGUGCAUUGUCUUAACCCUUUCCAGUGAUACAGUGCUGCUUGUUUUAAUAACUUCUUUUCUGCAAAUGAUACUUGAUACUGACACAGGAGAGAUACCUGGUCAUGUACUGUAUUACCACAGGAUGCUUGAAUUUGAUUUGUAAUAAGCUUCUUAGGCAUCACCACAGUUGUGAAUGUGCCGUAAGAUAGUACCGGGGUACAUCAAAAAGCACUUUGAACUAUUUUAUUCUCCAUGUAAAAAGUGAUCAAAAGUGCCUUGAAAUAUUUGAAGUGGAAUUUUAAGACUGGGAAAAGAAUUUAAUUUAAGAGAUCACAUAGUAUUUAUAUUUGGUUCUCUUCCGUCAUGAAGUUUUAAGUAAAAUUAAGAGUUAAUACUUUUUAACAACACGUUUUGCUCUAAAUUUCAACCCUAAUCUAUCUCUUCUCCUUUGUUUUGUUACAGGUAUAUAAAUCACCUGUACCCCACAGUUACACUUUGUCAGUACAUUCUUAGAUUGAAUACGUACCACUGUGAUGGGUUAAUGAAGUGCUGAGCAGCUGAUGUUACACCUAGAAUCUGGAUUGGAAUUAACAGAGGGGCUCUUUUUGAGAUUUUUUUUUUUUUAUCAUGAGUAAUGAUGGUAAUGUCCAUAGAUAAGAAAUAGAAAAAAAUCAAAAGGUUCUACUGUUUAUGGAGACCCUCUAUUUAUAGAUAUAUAUUAAACCAACCAGCCAUUCUUAACUAGUCAGAGAGUCAGAUGGUGUGUGUGUGUUGCCAUUGACGUUGAAUAAACAAUGUCACUCAGUUGAGCGAAUUUCCACACCCACCAAUAGGUGGAAGAUCGCUGGAAAUUGUGCCCUGUGAUACGUGUCCUCUCACACACAGCCACAAUCCACAACUUAAUUAUUAUCGUUGGUGCUACUAGUGGGGAGGCAGCCGAGCUUGUAUACUAUUACACAUUUUUCAAAGAAUACUUUCAUUGCAAAACAUGUAAUACAUAUUAACAUACAACACUUGUCCAAGCCUUCUCUUUUUGACAAUUUUUUUAUUUCAAAACAAUACACAUUAACAUUGAUUGCUCGAGAUAUACUUGUUAACUUGAUAUGCAACAAAGCAUUCUCUGUUGAACAACGUACAACAUAAAAGCCCUUGUGUAUAAUUCAUAAGUACCUAAUAGUCUCCUUGUUGUUUACUUGCCAGCAUACACCAAAUUUGAUAUUGUGAUUUUCCAUGGUUAUUGUUUAUUCUUUUUUCACUUGUGUUACAGUGAUCUAUUUAUACUGCUCAAGAAUGUAAUUUUUUUCUCAUUUUGUUACUUUUUUUCUCUUUUGCUGCAGUUAACAUAUAUAAUUUUAAACCUAACAACAUAUCCAAAAUGUUUAUCUCAUCUGUGUACAUAAACAGUAUUUGUAUAUACACAUCUAGUUUACAUACACAUUGCACUGCCAGUAUACAUUGUCUCCGUGGCUAUUCACCAUCUUACGAGAGACUAUAGUGAUGAUUCCCAUUGUUUUGUGCUAUUCAAGUCACCUUCUUGGUGGUUUGUAUCAUUAUUUUUUUUUAUUAUAUCAUCAAUAGCAGUGUACAUUAUUUUCUUGUGUACAAAAUGUUGUGUGGUGUGGCAGGUCAAGCCAGGGUCAUUUUUUACAGAAAAUUUCAUUAUUAUUAUUGUUUCUAGAAUGAUGCUGAUAUGGAUGAGCUUGCAUAGUAAUACCCUAUUAAGGGAAAUACUGGUGCAGGUUCUUUCCUCUUUAUGAAGUGUAUAUUAGACAUGUUCAUAGUGGAACAAGCAUACAGUGACUUCUCAUUCCUACCAUCUGUAAUUUUAUGUAAAUUUUAUUACCAUUUGAGAGUAAGCAAUUUGUAUGAUCAUAGGUGCAUAGUGUAACAUUUCAUGAUAGAGAAAUAUUGUAAAAUUGUCAUGAUAUACUGCUAGUUCUGGUAUUGAUGACUGGGUUUUAUUAUGCAUGGGAUUUUUUAACCAUUGAUGGUGGUUACAUGAGGUUAAUGUGUGCCAUAACUUUGGACAUGAUUAAUAUCAACUUAAUUGUAAAAGCAUUAUUUAAUUAUUUACCCAUUUUGUUAAUGUCUCAGGUAUGUCUUCUCCUUUUAUAGACUCUUUAGAUGUAAUAAUAAUUUUUUUUUUUUGUAUUGUCUGCCAGGGCUGAAAAAUUUUUAUGAAAAUUUGCUAGGGAAUGAGUCUUAUUGUAAUUUUUUUAAUUUCUAUUUUUUUUUCCUUUUUUUUGCCAAUAAAGUAUUCUGAACUCUAUAGACUUGUUAAUAUUUGUAAUAAAAGUUUUAAACUUUAA